AGUUCCGUAGCGUGUAGUGAAAGCUAUCACGUUCGCUUCACAUCGCGAAAGCAGCCCCCGGUUCGAUCCCGGACGGAACCA
Molecule: non-coding RNA, 81 nt
Organism: Trichonephila inaurata madagascariensis
Lineage: Eukaryota; Metazoa; Arthropoda; Arachnida; Araneae; Nephilidae
Source: the annotation of a GenBank genome assembly